GAUGAACGCUGGCGGCGUGCCUAAUACAUGCAAGUCGAGCGAACGGACGAGAAGCUUGCUUCUCUGAUGUUAGCGGCGGACGGGUGAGUAACACGUGGAUAACCUACCUAUAAGACUGGGAUAACUUCGGGAAACCGUAGCUAAUACCGGAUAAUAUUUUGAACCGCAUGGUUCAAAAGUGAAAGACGGUCUUGCUGUCACUUAUAGAUGGAUCCGCGCUGCAUUAGCUAGUUGGUAAGGUAACGGCUUACCAAGGCAACGAUGCAUAGCCGACCUGAGAGGGUGAUCGGCCACACUGGAACUGAGACACGGUCCAGACUCCUACGGGAGGCAGCAGUAGGGAAUCUUCCGCAAUGGGCGAAAGCCUGACGGAGCAACACCGCGUGAGUGAUGAAGGUCUUCGGAUCGUAAAACUCUGUUGUUAGGGAAGAACAUAUGUGUAAGUAACUGUGCACAUCUUGACGGUACCUAAUCAGAAAGCCACGGCUAACUACGUG
This 497-nucleotide ribosomal RNA is filed under the name uncultured bacterium. RNAcentral's name for it is "partial 16S ribosomal RNA". It matches the Rfam family "Bacterial small subunit ribosomal RNA", at positions 28 to 507 of the family's 1533-position model. The record is from RNAcentral.